CACAUGCUGUAACCGCUCCGAUCGGGUUAAAGUACAGGCUGUUUACAGUCCUGUCACCUAGGAUUAGGCGAGUCUGAGACAUGAG
This is a regulatory RNA element of Paenibacillus pini JCM 16418, 85 nucleotides long. The record is from Rfam. Lineage: Bacteria; Bacillati; Bacillota; Bacilli; Caryophanales; Paenibacillaceae.